Molecule: long non-coding RNA, 306 nt
Filed under: Androctonus crassicauda
Lineage: Eukaryota; Metazoa; Arthropoda; Arachnida; Scorpiones; Buthidae
Source: RNAcentral
GUUUCUGGGGACUCAGCAACAACAGGUUGCUCAUGACUGCGUAGCGGUCUGGUUUGCUUCACACUUUCCCAACCUAUAUUGAUGUUUCCAUUAUGCGUCUCUGUGGCAAGCACCGUAUUGGGAUUCCCUUGGCUUGUGUCUCUCCUGUGCUCCUCCAUCCUCCUACCAGUUGUCCUCGACAUCGCCCUGAUGUGUGCAGGUUCCUCAUUUGUGUUGUCGUUUGUUGUGGGCACUUUGUAUAUCCCUUUUCUUUCCGAUUGCCAUGGGGAGUCCUUUUCGUUUCUUAGAGUAUUGUGUACUGUCGGG